RNAcentral lists this ribosomal RNA (497 nucleotides) under uncultured bacterium. RNAcentral describes it as "partial 16S ribosomal RNA". It matches the Rfam family "Bacterial small subunit ribosomal RNA", at positions 28 to 507 of the family's 1533-position model. The record is from RNAcentral.
GAUGAACGCUGGCGGCGUGCCUAAUACAUGCAAGUCGAGCGAACAGACGAGGAGCUUGCUCCUCUGACGUUAGCGGCGGACGGGUGAGUAACACGUGGAUAACCUACCUAUAAGACUGGGAUAACUUCGGGAAACCGGAGCUAAUACCGGAUAAUAUAUUGAACCGCAUGGUUCAAUAGUGAAAGACGGUUUUGCUGUCACUUAUAGAUGGAUCCGCGCCGCAUUAGCUAGUUGGUAAGGUAACGGCUUACCAAGGCAACGAUGCGUAGCCGACCUGAGAGGGUGAUCGGCCACCCUGGAACUGAGACACGGUCCAGACUCCUACGGGAGGCCGCAGUAGGGAAUCUUCCGCAAUGGGCGAAAGCUUGACGGAGCAACGCCGCGUGAGUGAUGAAGGUCUUCGGAUCGUAAAGCUCUGUUAUUAGGGAAGAACAAAUGUGUAAGUAACUAUGCACGUCUUGACGGUACCUAAUCAGAAAGCCACGGCUAACUACGUG